CAGCCGUAAACGAUACUCGCUAGGUGUCGGCCACGGUGCGACCGUUGUCGGUGCCGUAGGGAAGCCGUGAAGCGAGCCACCUGGGAAGUACGGCCGCAAGGCUGAAACUUAAAGGAAUUGGCGGGGGAGCACCACAACGGGUGGAGCUUGCGGUUUAAUUGGACUCAACGCCGGGAAGCUCACCGGAUAAGACAGCGGAAUGAUUGCCGGGCUGAAGACCCUGCAUGACCAGCUGAGAGGAGGUGCAUGGCGUAGUCGUGU
This 261-nucleotide ribosomal RNA is filed under the name uncultured archaeon. RNAcentral describes it as "partial 16S ribosomal RNA". It matches the Rfam family "Archaeal small subunit ribosomal RNA", at positions 748 to 1009 of the family's 1478-position model. The record is from RNAcentral.